This 469-nucleotide ribosomal RNA is filed under the name uncultured bacterium. RNAcentral describes it as "bacterial SSU rRNA". It matches the Rfam family "Bacterial small subunit ribosomal RNA", at positions 29 to 492 of the family's 1533-position model. The record is from RNAcentral.
AACGAACGCUGGCGGCGCGCCUAAUACAUGCAAGUCGAGCGAGAAGACGUAGCAAUACGUUUGUAAAGCGGCGAACGGGUGAGGAAUACAUGGGUAACCUACCCUCGAGUGGGGAAUAACUAGCCGAAAGGUUAGCUAAUACCGCGUACGCUCCUUGGACUUCGGUUCAGGGAGGAAAGCGAUACCGUGGGUAUCGCGCUCUUGGAUGGGCUCAUGUCCUAUCAGCUUGUUGGUGAGGUAACGGCUCACCAAGGCUUCGACGGGUAGCUGGUCUGAGAGGACAAUCAGCCACACUGGCACUGCGACACGGGCCAGACUCCUACGGGAGGCAGCAGUAAGGAUAUUGCGCAAUGGGCGAAAGCCUGACGCAGCGACGCCGCGUGGGGGAUGAAGGUCUUCGGAUUGUAAACCCCUUUCGGGAGGGAAGAUGGAACGAGCAAUCGUUCGGACGGUACCUCCAGAAGCAGCC